Molecule: ribosomal RNA, 255 nt
Filed under: uncultured bacterium
Lineage: Bacteria
Description: partial 16S ribosomal RNA
Rfam family: Bacterial small subunit ribosomal RNA
Source: RNAcentral
UACGGAGGGUGCAAGCGUUAAUCGGAAUUACUGGGCGUAAAGCGUGCGUAGGUGGUUUGUUAAGUCUGUUGUGAAAGCCCCGGGCUCAACCUGGGAAUGGCAAUGGAUACUGGCAAGCUAGAGUGCGGUAGAGGGUAGUGGAAUUCCCGGUGUAGCGGUGAAAUGCGCAGAUAUCAGGAGGAACACCGGGUGGCGAAGGCGGGUCUCUGGGCCGUAACUGACGCUGAGGAGCGAAAGCAUGGGGGAGCGAACAGG